AGGGAUGAUGCAAGGGAAAUAACGUACUGGGUAAACGAAGCAGACUACUUUACUAUAUAUAGGAGGAUAAGGAGAGAGGAAAGAAAUAGUAAGUCGGAAGAAGCUGCCCCAACCUCUCUUGUUGCACUCAUACUCGAUGGAGCUGUCUGUCUCUGGCAUACCUACUACUAAUGCGGGAAGAGGCUGCCAGUUCAAUCUCAUAUCCUCAUAUCUAUACCUAUGAUAAAGUAGCUACCGAGAGAAGUAAGAAAAGCGUUUCACCGCUCUAUCAGGUAACGAAACAACACAGGAGGGAGAAGACGACAGAGCACCACUGCCCUCUUUUAGGGUGAGUGAGGAAGAAGAAAAGCACAAGACGAGCGGCGUCCUUCUCGAUAGCUGCUCCAUAACCCCCAACCUUGUUGUGUGCCCUUGCUCUAGUGAAUGAGGCAGAAGCAGUAGUGACAUCGAGCAACUACUACUAUUAUAUAUAGGAGUGGGGACUACAGUGAGAGACAAGUAGUAUAUACGAGUUAUCAGCGAAGAGGGCAGAGAGGGAGGGUUACACAGAGAGCAGGACAGGAGAGGAUCGCUAGACCACUUAUUAUAUCAUCAGCUAUUAUAUAUAGUAGUAAGUAGAGGAGGUUGAGUCGGAGGUAGUGUAAGUAAGUGAAGCAGAGGAAUAAGUAAGUAAGUAAAAGUAAGUAACAUCGUAUCGAAUUGCCUCAUGAGUCGUGCUAGUGUGCUUGUGCCAGCAGAGAAGAGAAGAAGCGAAAGAGCUUAUCUCGGAAGCAUCUCCCAUCUCUCGAACUAGUACUAGACACCUUCGAUCUCGAUCGUUUACUCGAUGAGCUACUACUAGUAUUACCUCCUCACCCACUUCUUUCUUUGAAUCCCAUCUCAUAUUCAACCAGAAACUACUAACUACUACUAACAACCUUACUAUACUACUACUAUGAUCGAUCUUCAACUGGAAAAGAAACUACUUCGACGAGGGUUGUUCAUCCACUAUACGGUAUGCCUUAUAUGCUCCGUUUACAGAUCGAUGAUAUAGAAGAAGAAAAGAACCGAAGCUCCGAUAGUAGAAACAACUUGCUACACUGGCGGAUCAGCUAGUGGGGUCUGGGCAUAACAUACUGUCAGGCUCGGUUGUUGGAUGCGAGAGGCUCACGUGUGGCUCCUCGAAGCAGAUGCUCUUCUCUUCUUGUUUUGGGCCCUCACACACCUCGAAGCUCUACUCUCAGCUGACACUAGGCAUGAAGAAAAGCAUGGUUGCUUGCCCGACCUCAGUAGAAGGUUCUGGCUUGUUCGGACAUGAGCUACUAUAUAAAUAGUAGUACUACUGGCAGGCUGCGGCUCCAUCUCGGAUACUCUUUCUCCACCGAUACAUCCAUUCACUACUACUGGUGCUACUUGCCAUGGAUCUUUUGAUGACUGUCCUACUCUCUCUCUCCUUGCUUUUGACUACUCCAGCAGCUACUUACUACCUAUCUAUCUAUUUCUACUACCGCACCACCACUACCAUAGUAACUCCUCCUACUUACUAGUGUGCCCCACCCCCACCUCGAGACUGGCCUUGGAGAAUCGAAUCGAAAGUCCCACCAACAAGUCCAAGUAGUGAAGUAGUCAUGAUAUGCUGCUACUAGUUUCUAGAUGAUACACACACAUCUUUUCGUACGGUUGCGGCACUCGUUUUCAUGAGAAGGGUGGUUGCUCGGUUGUUGCAUCAUGCGGAAGCGGAGUUUUGUUAGCCGUAUACUUGCGCUACUUGGUGCUACUAUCUAAUUGUAUCCUCCUCGGCCAAUCGCUUGCCUUCUCCGAAGAAGUAGUGAAACUUUAUAUCUUCGUUAGCAUCAGAAUGAAAAACACCUCUCCCUAAGUACAGACAGCAGAUGAGCAACGACAUCGAGAGCGUGCCAAAGCAAGGUCGAAGAAGUAGCCUCGGGUGCAGCUCCCAACAAACCUCUCUAUACUAACUACUAUUAUUAUAGUGAUCAAAGCAUUGGAAAAACCUUUACUGUGUGUGUUUGUGUGUGUAGUACUACGAGACGAGAGUAAAGUAACGAUGGAACAUCCCCGGUCUA
Molecule: long non-coding RNA, 2063 nt
Filed under: Amborella trichopoda
Lineage: Eukaryota; Viridiplantae; Streptophyta; Magnoliopsida; Amborellales; Amborellaceae
Description: long non-coding RNA (ATRI_LNC003249)
Source: RNAcentral